AGCGAACGCUGGCGGCAGGCUUAACACAUGCAAGUCGAGCGGGCCUUUCGGGGUCAGCGGCGGACGGGUGAGUAACGCGUGGGAACGUGCCCUCUGGUUCGGAAUAACUCAGGGAAACUUGAGCUAAUACCGGAUACGCCCUUUUGGGGAAAGGCUUGCUGCCGGAGGAUCGGCCCGCGUCUGAUUAGCUAGUUGGUGAGGUAACGGCGCACCAAUGCGACGAUCAGUAGCUGGUUUGAGAGGAUGAUCAGCCACACUGGGACUGAGACACGGCCGAGACUCCUACGGGAGGGAGCAGUAGGGAAUAUUGGAAAAUGGGCGCAAGCAUGAUCCAGCCAUGACGCGUGAGUGAUGAAGGCCUUAGGGUUGUAAAGCUCUUUUAUCCGGGACGAUAAUGACGGUACCGGAGGAAUAAGCCCCGGCUAACUUCGUG
RNAcentral lists this ribosomal RNA (433 nucleotides) under uncultured bacterium. RNAcentral describes it as "partial 16S ribosomal RNA". It matches the Rfam family "Bacterial small subunit ribosomal RNA", at positions 29 to 507 of the family's 1533-position model. The record is from RNAcentral.